RNAcentral lists this long non-coding RNA (728 nucleotides) under Homo sapiens (human). Its description in RNAcentral is "HSALNT0404304". Lineage: Eukaryota; Metazoa; Chordata; Mammalia; Primates; Hominidae. The record is from RNAcentral.
GUGCUUUUGGGUCUGUCUGCUCCAUCCUUCCUGCACUUCACAGGAGGCAACCAUGAGCUCUGUGUCUCAUCUGCACCUGGCUCCCCUGAGACCCCUGUUCAGCACUGUCACCUGAAGACUUGGCUGUGCACUGCUGAUGGCCCCCUGCGCCAUCUUGUUUCUCUCUGAGGUGCCCCAGCAACUCUGCAAAUGACCCAGCAGGACCAACUUCCUGGUCCCAAGGCUGUUGGAUGGAGCUUAGGAGAGAGGGUAGAUGGAGCAUCGCUCAUCUGGACACCUCAGAAGGGGCAGACAGCAGCACGCAGAGUGCCAAAGGGGAAGAGAUGCGGAGCAAAGAACUGGAAACUUCUCAGGCAUUCACAUUGGCAACUCCUGUUCCAAGAAUAAUUAUUUAUGACAGAUUUCAAUUUUCGGGGCAGGGAUGGUGUCUUACUCAUCCUGGGCUUCAGGACAUCUGUGUAACAGACGCUCCAGGUGAAGCAGUGAUGUCAACCCUGGCUGAACACUGGAAUCACCUGGGAAGAUCAAAAAGCAACACCUCCUGCAUCUAGGUUUGGUCUGGAUAUUGGAAUUUUUUAAUGUCCUGGUGGUUUUAAUGGGCACGCAAGGUUGAGAACUACUUAUUUAUAGUUUUCAUCAAAAGUCUGUCUGGUAAACUCUUAAGUCUUUUUCAGUCUGAAGUCUUUAUUUUGAAUUCAAUCUUAAUAAAAAUUUGGUGGUUUACAGAA